CGGCGCGCAUAACGGUUCGAGGAAAACAAGAUAUCGCGCGCUCUCGGUAAUUCCCCUGCGCUCGGUCUACUUUGUGCGUUGACAAGAAAAAAAAAAAAAAAAAACUCCCGUACACAUCGCACGCGUAAUGGGCACGUGACCAUCGCCUCCUACUUUCGUAUUUUUUUUGAACGACGUUUCGAAAAACGUACACUUGUGCAAAUUAAUUCGAAGCAGAACGAUCUCGUUGGAUUCGACGAUCGGGAGGUAGGAAUUCUAAGAGUGCAGAUAUAAAUGACGACGAGUCGAACCUCAUUG
Molecule: long non-coding RNA, 297 nt
Organism: Athalia rosae (coleseed sawfly)
Lineage: Eukaryota; Metazoa; Arthropoda; Insecta; Hymenoptera; Athaliidae
Exons: 2
Source: RefSeq, a predicted model, not a curated record